Canis lupus familiaris (dog) is the source of this 3556-nucleotide long non-coding RNA. RefSeq lists it as uncharacterized. The record is from RefSeq and is a predicted model, not a curated record. NCBI's taxonomy places the organism in Eukaryota, Metazoa, Chordata, Mammalia, Carnivora, Canidae. The transcript has 3 exons.
CAAGUCCUCAGCCCACCCUUCAAGGCCAUCAGGACCCACCCCAUCAGCCUCCUCACCAGAGCUUCUUCACCCAGUGUGUAGGCAACUGCGGAGUCCUCACUGCUCCCCAACUGUCAGGCACACAUGCGGACUGACAGGCAUUUGCACAUGCGUUCCCCAGUCUAGAUGCCCUUCCAUUCCACCCACCCCUUGUCCCAUGUCACUUCAAAGCCAACUCCAGGAUUCCUUCAUGCAGAUAGGACCUGAGGGGGCUGCUGAUGUGCCAGGUGUUGUGCAAGGGCCCCAUGCUUUCCCAAACCCGGCGCCCCGCCUCCCUCCUGGACUCAUCUGGCCCUGCCCUUUCACCCAGUGGUUCACGAUUCUGAGUGUCUGCCUUCUUCCCCGGGGUGGAAGCCCCUCGAGGGCAGGGACUGGGUCUGGUUCAUCGGGGGUCCCUGUCCCCACACCUGGCACGGCGUUACCGGUUGUGCAAUGCAUGUCAGAAUCAGGCCAAGGAGGAGAGGGGCUAUUGAAAGGAGACUCCCUUGGAGGCCCACACUGGGAGAAAGCUCAAGCAGUUGAUUGGCCGGCUCCACUGACUGGUGUCCAGAUGGGGGAGUUCAUGAAACCCCCAGAAGGUGGUGGUGGUGCAGGUCCUGGCCAGACACUACAGCAGUCAUUGUGAAGAACAUUGACGAUGGCACCUCAGACCAUCCCUACAGCCAAGCUCUGGUGGCUGCAAUUGACUGCUAUUCCCACGAAGUGACAGCUGCCAUGGGUAAGAAGAAAAUCACCAAGAGGUCAAAGAUCAAAUCUUUUGUGAAAGUUUAUAACUACAGUCACUUCAUGCUCACAAGGUACUCUAUGGAUAUCCCCUUGGACACAACUGUCAUCAAUAAGGAUGUCUCCGGAGACCCUGCUCCUAAACACAAGGCCUGGCAAGAAGCCAAGGUCAAGUUCAAGGAGAGUAGGAGACUGGCAAGAACAAAUGGUUCUUAUAGAAGCUGUGGUUUUUGAUCUGUCUUGUUUCAGUCAUUAAAAAUACAUUUAAAAAGGGUAAAUAUUAAUACAGGUAGUAACAAGAUAUGGCAAAAAUUGAGAUGGUGGUAUGAGAAUAACCAGUUAGGAAAUAAUUCAAGGAAAGGCCUGUUUAAUGAAUAACCAGCCAGCAUCCACCACUAACAAUCCCCAGCAAACAAGAACAAUACAGAGAAGGGAGAUUAAAAAGCAAGAGGGGUACCUAGGUGUCGCAGUCGGUUAAGCGGUUAAGCUUCUGACUCUUGAUUUUGGCUCAGGUCAUGAUCUCAGGAUUGUGAGAUCAAGGCCCACAUUGUGCUCCAUGCUGGGUGCAGAGUCUGCUUGUCUCCCUUUCUUUCUGCCCCUCCCCUGCUCUAAUAAUUUUUAAAAAGGUGAGAAAGAACCACUUUCUAAAGAAUUUGAGUGAUCUUUUUCUUUUUAAAGAUUUUAUUUAUUUAUUUGAGAGUAGGAGAGUGAGAGAGCACUGGCAAGGGGAAAAGAAGGCUCCCUGCUGAGUGGGGAGCCCAACAUGGGGUUUAAUCCCAGGAGCCGGGGAUCAUGACCUGAGACGAAAGCAAACACUUAACCAACUGAGCCACCCGGGUGCUCUGGAGUGAUCUUUUUCAAAAGGACCAGAAUUUCUACUCAGGGCAUUGGUGUCUAGAGGAAAUCACUCCUUAUGUUGGCCCAGGGCGGAAACCUGGGUGUCUACUUGCCCAUCUGGCCACUUUCCGCAUGCCCUAAAAUGAAGUCUGCAGAUUGGUCUCCCCAACUCAGGAAGAAUAAGAACAAAUUAAAAGCAUUUUCAGACAUGCAAAGAUUCAGAAGGCUUUCCUUCCAUGCAUCCCCUUUAAAAAUGUUAUUUGAAGAUAUACUCCAGCAAAACAGAGACAAAACCCAAGAAAGAGAGACCAGAUUCACCCAACAGAAGAACUGACCCACAAGUGUAAUGAAUAGAAAUGCCAGAGGUCCAUAAAGCCAUCAGUCAAAAUUAGAACAGGAAGUCAGAGGGUUUGGAGAAAAGUGUCUUCAAGAAGAAAAUGGGCUUCAUUCAACAAAUAAUGUAAUUAAGAAACUGGGAGAUUUUAAUGACCUAAUUAAAAAGACAUAUGUUUCUUUUCUCAAGAAGAAAAGAGUAAAGCAAUGAGAAACUCCAGGAGAGCAAGAACUUGUAUGAGAAGGCCUUGGUCCAAAUAUGAAGUGAAUUAAAACAUAACAUGACUUUGAAUGUUGAGGGAGUGUAGGAAAAUACAUUUGCACUUAAAGCCGGGAGCAUUUCCCUUCAGGCAGCAUUGAAAAUCAUAAGAUUAUAGUUCCUUCUCUACGGGUCCCUGGAUGCUAGUUAGCUCUGUGGAGAAUAAUGUUUACAUAAUCAUAAUAUGUUUAAAAAACACUUCAUUUAUUUUCAAUUUUUGAAAUUCAGAGAUGGACAACACACAAACACCAGAACAUUUUCACUGUGGAGACAGAACUAGAUUCACAUGUAGUGGUUUAGCAAGAAGAUUUAGGAGGGGGGAGGGCACGUAUGAUAAAGGAUGUCUCAUCUUACACAGCAGGAGUCAGGAGCUAUUUCAUAAAAUUAAUGGCAUGAGAAAGAAGAGCUGGCAAUGGGUAUCUAACCAAACUCUGGAGGGAAGGUACCUUUGCUAAACUUCUCAUCUUUCACAGUUGGGCACGGUGCCAGACACUGUUAGCUCAGGAGCCACCUGCCCUCCCACCAGGUACAUGGCUACCCAGAGAGACAGCCUAUCCCUCAGGCUCCCUUGCAGCUACAUGGGAUCAGCUGGUCCACUUCAGGCCAAGCAGCCUGGCGCUAGAACCUGUGCUCAUGACCAGGAUACUCUUCCACCCAAGCAGAAUUCUGGCUUCCUGAUGAUUGCAGAGCCACCUGGCCAGCUCUGGAUGGCCUGUGGAGAAAAGGAAACUUCCAUCUUCUAAGACAUUGUCAUUUGGGAGUCUUUGUUGCAGUAGCUAUAUUCUAAUACAGAAGUCCAUAGCUCCUCUACGUAAUUUAAAAGAAUGAUUUUACUCUAUUUUGUUAUGAGUGGUUUGAAUCUAUUAUAAGAAAAAAAUGUACUUUUUAUUCAUCUCAAAUGUGUUUUAAUUGGAGGGCAUGGACGCCAAUCAGUCCAUAUCACAACCUUGCUUAAACCCAUCAGGGACCCCACUGCCUUUGGGAUGGAGUCCAAGCUCCUCAGCCUAGAUUCAGGCCAGCCCUUCACCUGCCUUUCUAUUUCUUACUGCUCUUCUUCACAGGAGAACCCUUGGGCCCCACUAAUUAUUUACUGUGGACCCAGAACGGACCUUUGGCCAUGCCCACUCCUCACCUUUGCUCAUGUCAACCCCUCUGCCUGGAGUCCCAAUUUUUCUUCCUCUCCCACCUCUGCCCAAGAUCUCCCACUCAAAGCUCAUCUUCGAACUCCUAUUCAUCCCUCAAAGCCCAGCCCAAGUUGCCUCUGGAACAUUUUUCUGUUUAUCUUGGUCUUUCUCUGUCCUGUUAAAGAUUUUCCUCAAAUGUCUGGUGAUUCAGAUCAUAGUUAAAUGAAACGAAACAAAAGUA